CACAGUUGUAGGGUAAUUUUGUACACAUGUCACUCCCAUAUUCAACCUUAGCAAAUCCUACAUGGAAAAAGACAAAAAAACUACUUCAUUUGGCCGAAAUUUGAAAUUGUAUUUACCUCCUUCAUAUGUUGACGAAAUGGGCCAACAUAUACCAGGCCAAUGCUAUCCGGCCCAACUUGAUCCAGUCCAUUUCAGGCCAAACAAAAAAACUCCUUCCCCAAGAAGCAUGUUUGACGCGUCUCUUUUCAUUAUUUUUCAAAUCCAUGCAACUUCUUCUUCUUCUUCUCAGAAGCAGCCGUCCCUUUCAUUCUUAGCAAAGGAACAGUGUCAAGUCACUUUCAUUACCAACAAAUGUCUGACAAUGUCCGACUAUCAUCAACCCAUGGAAAUUGAAAAUCAGAUUCUCAAAUUUCAAAUUUCAAACUCUCUCUCUCUCUCUCUAAACACCAAAGUUUCUUCACUUCAUGAACUCGAUUUUCCUUCCAAAGAAGAAUCCCAUGGAUAUUGCUGGGCCGAUUUUCAUUCUAACGGAGCAGGUAAUUUCAAACUCUUACUCUUCGUUUUUUGAAAUCCCCAAUUUUCUUCAAUCAACUUUAAAUCCCUAAUUUUCUAAUCCCUCUUUUUAUUUUAUUUUUUCAAAUUCUCUCAUCAAAUGGAAAGAAUUUCAUUCUGAAACCCGAUUCGUGUUCUCCCAAAAGUGUUAUAUAUUUAAGCUCGAGUUGUUGUCUGGAAGUCUGCAGCAAAGAAGAUGAAGAGAAAUAUGAAGAAGCAACACGCACCAUGAAGGCAGCGGCAACCUCAAACUUAUAAAACUCUGCAUCAAUUCCAAGUGAAACCUCAAAAUGAUGGUGGACACAAUUUUUUGUUCAAGAUUCAAGUUAAAUUGUGUGAAGGGUAUCCAACGAUUUCGAUCUCUUGUGGUAAAUUCAAAGAUUUGAGUAAUCCAAAGGUUUCACUUCUUGAAAUUUGCCGGAGUUUGAAUUCUAAAUAUUGAAGAUGUUAGACCAAUGCAAGGAAAUAAUGGGGUAUGAUUUAGAAGAAAACAAUAGAGAAUAUGCUAGAAUGCUUGGAUUAUUCUGGUUUUUCAAUGUCAAAAUGAAAUAAUGAUUGAAUUGUCUUCAAAUAUCUGAUUUUCAUUUCAAUUUUAGUUCAUGGCUUGAAGGGAAUUUCUAUGGAAAUUGAUUUAAUGUACAGUUUAGCAUUGUAUGCAUGACUAUAUUUUCAUUUCAAAUAUCUGAUUUGUCCCUGUUUAUUGAAUUUCUUGUGGAUUGAUUCUAUGUUCUCUCAUUCAACUCAUGGCUUUGUAGUAUUAUUUUUCACAGUUGGUAAGUUACUUAUGCAUAUAUUUAUUUUUAGUAUUAGUAUUUUGUACUGAUAUUAUACAUGAAAUGUUGAUUGAUGUAGAAACCAAUUCUUAUGUUAGUUUUGAGAUGUCAUUGAUAUUACAUUUCAUUGCAUCAGUACUAGCUUUUAUUUCACAUUUCAUUUCUUUUAUGUGAUUUUCUUUAAUUUGAGUAAGCGACAGAUGUAUAGUGCUAAUUAAAUAUAAUUUUCAAAGUUGGAUCCUUUACUGCUGUAAAGGCAGACAAACAGGGGUAAAAGCUUAAUUGUUUUGCUAAUGAUAAUUUUUCAUGUUUCAAAUCAUAUCAUUUAAGAAUUUUGCUUAUUUAUCUUUGUACUACAAAUUGAUUUUUGCAUUAGUAUUGUUGUUAUCGAGGAUUAGUGUUCACUUUGCUAGAGGAAUUCACUAUAUCAUGAAUUACAAUAGCAUUGUUCGCUGCGAUUGAAUUUGAUUGAAAUUUGUUUCAAUUGAUUGUUUAUUUGUUUCAUUCUUUUACCUUGAGUUAUAUUUUCAGAAGUGGAGGUUACACUUCUUAAUAUCUUAUUUUUCCGUCAAACAAGAUGAUUCAUACGUUGACAUCUAUAUAUCAAGAUGAUUCACACCCACCACUUAACCUCUGCAAAUCUCUUGUUUCUAUUGGUUAAGAAGAUUACACAAUGCAAGUAUAGCUAAAGUGGGGAAUAUUUAUCUGUUUAUAAGAUGUGAAGGGAAGCUAUUAGCAAGUUUGAAUAUUCAGAGAAUUUCCUGUUUCAAGUUUGAAUGCAAGCUGUUUUUUUUUAUUUUGAACACAAAUCAUACACUCUAUUGAUAGUUUAUUGAUUAAAGUGAUGACAUGGUGCCAUUGGCCUUCCUUUACAUUGUGUGAGUAGAUAUCUUGCUAUAGAUUUCUAUGUUUAGCUUGCACUAGAUUUUGUGAUGCUAUAGCAAGAUAUGAGUAGGAAUUUCUCAAAGUUAUUGAGUCACCAUUGGUAUGAGAGCAAUUGUACACUAAGAUAGUUAGUUUUGGUUGUAAGAUUUUAGGUAUUAAUUCUAAUUCUAAAUUAUAACAGACAUGAAUUUUGUUAUCAUGUGUUUCACUGCCAUAAUCUACCAUGUUAGUUAUAA
This is a long non-coding RNA of Trifolium pratense (red clover), 2446 nucleotides long. RefSeq lists it as uncharacterized. Lineage: Eukaryota; Viridiplantae; Streptophyta; Magnoliopsida; Fabales; Fabaceae. The transcript has 5 exons. The record is from RefSeq and is a predicted model, not a curated record.